UAUAAUGCGAUGAUUAGAAGGAGUAAAGGCUGUCAUAUCAUAAAGAGAGGAAGUGGUUGGUGAAAACUUCUUGAUAUAGGUCAUUGAAGCUGUCUAGGAGCUAUAAAUGUUUGAGAGAUAUUUAAUACAUAGCAAAUAUAUGACUAUGUAUUUAUAUAAGUAGGGUGGUACCGCGGAAACUUUCGUCCCUUAG
Molecule: non-coding RNA, 193 nt
Rfam family: T-box leader
About the family: Uncharged tRNA acts as the effector for transcription antitermination of genes in the T-box leader family.